AUGAAGACCCGCCGCAUUCAACUCCUAGUUGUAGGAGAAAGAAUGAGAAGCAAUGAGAAGAAGAGCUAGUUGAAUGUACCACAUGUCUGAAACACGCUUCUACAUUGAUAAACAAGAUGACUUAACAGAGGAUGAAGGUCAGACGGAUAUGAUAUGUAGAGAUAACCAUGAAUUUCUACGCGGCUGAUCGAAGAAGAUGGCUGAAAAUGGAGUUUUGAAAACCUCUUAAGCUCUUAACAUUCUUCUGUAUUUGCUUAUUUCCUUUUUUUUUUAAAUUUUAAUUAGUGCUAUAGUUUAAUUUCAUUUUUGAUUAUUGGGAACGAUGCACUUCUAGGAUUGGUAGGUGUACUAUUUUUUAAUUUUUGUUAAUUGAUAAACGUGAUGGGGCAUUUGGUUUGAAAAAAGAAAAAGAAAAGGAAAGAAAAGAUUUCAUGUAAUAUAAUUAAAAUUUAAGUUUAAUUUGUAA
Solanum pennellii is the source of this 466-nucleotide long non-coding RNA. RefSeq lists it as uncharacterized. The transcript is spliced from 2 exons. Lineage: Eukaryota; Viridiplantae; Streptophyta; Magnoliopsida; Solanales; Solanaceae. The record is from RefSeq and is a predicted model, not a curated record.